GAUGAACGCUGGCGGCGUGCCUAAUACAUGCAAGUCGAACGAACAGACGAGGAUCUUGCUCCUCUGACGUUAGCGGCGCACGUGUGAGUAACACGUGUAUAACCUACCUAUAAUACUGGUAUAACUUCGGGAAACCUGCUCUAAUACCGGAUAAUCUAUUGAUCCGCAGGGUUCAGUAGUAAAGGGCUGUUUUGCUGUCACUUAUAGAUGCGUCCGCGCCGCAUGAGCUAGUGGGUAAGGUAACGGCUUACCAAGGCAACUAUGCGUAGACGACCUGAGAGGCUGAUCGGGCGCCCUGUAACAGAGACACGGUCCAGCCUCCUACGGGCGGCCGCAGUAGGGCAUCUUCCGCAAUUGGCGAAAGCCUGCAGGAGCGACGCCGCGUGAGUGCUGAAGGGCUUCGGAUCGUAAAACUCUGUUAUUAGGGAAGAAAAAAUGUGUACGUAACUAUGCACGUCUUGACGGUACCUAAUAAGAAAGCCACGGCUAACUACGUG
Molecule: ribosomal RNA, 497 nt
Filed under: uncultured bacterium
Lineage: Bacteria
Description: partial 16S ribosomal RNA
Rfam family: Bacterial small subunit ribosomal RNA
Source: RNAcentral